This 77-nucleotide transfer RNA is filed under the name Planctomycetaceae bacterium. Its description in RNAcentral is "tRNA-Trp". It matches the Rfam family "tRNA". From Rfam's summary of the family: Transfer RNA (tRNA) molecules are approximately 80 nucleotides in length. Their secondary structure includes four short double-helical elements and three loops (D, anti-codon, and T loops). Further hydrogen bonds mediate the characteristic L-shaped molecular structure. tRNAs have two regions of fundamental functional importance: the anti-codon, which is responsible for specific mRNA codon recognition, and the 3' end, to which the tRNAs corresponding amino acid is attached (by aminoacyl-tRNA synthetases). tRNAs cope with the degeneracy of the genetic code in two manners: having more than one tRNA (with a specific anti-codon) for a particular amino acid; and 'wobble' base-pairing, i.e. permitting non-standard base-pairing at the 3rd anti-codon position. RNAcentral also lists the same sequence under 1 other name. The record is from RNAcentral. Lineage: Bacteria; Pseudomonadati; Planctomycetota; Planctomycetia; Planctomycetales; Planctomycetaceae.
ACGAGCGUAGCUCAAUUAGGCAGAGCAGCUGAUUCCAAAUCAGCAGGUUGGGGGUUCGAUUCCCUCCGCUCGUGCCA